UGGCUCAGAUGGUAAAGAAUCUGCCUGCAAAGCAGAAGACCCAGGUUCAAUCCCUGG
Molecule: transfer RNA, 57 nt
Filed under: Bos taurus (domestic cattle)
Lineage: Eukaryota; Metazoa; Chordata; Mammalia; Artiodactyla; Bovidae
Also listed under: 4 other names
Rfam family: tRNA
About the family: Transfer RNA (tRNA) molecules are approximately 80 nucleotides in length.
Source: Rfam by way of RNAcentral